CCACUACACUCAAUUAUAGCGUUCACCCAUGAAAGGCGCCAGCUGUCUCUGUUUUGGGGGAAAUAUUUGACGCCAAAAUCAAUAUACUUGUGUGAAAUCCCUCUCUCUUCCUUGUUUCAAUUUCAAACCCUCUCUCUCUCUCUCUCAGUGGAGAUGGAGAAUCGAUCGAUCUAUCUGUAUGGGUAAAUGGAGAAUCGAUGAAAAUUCCAAUCAAUGCGGGAACAAAUGGCGCCCUAAGCUUAUCAAUCUCAUCCUCGAACAACCUCAAGAAAUCGAUCCCUUCCGGCAUCUCAACCACUACCGUCUCCUCCCUCUCCACCUCCACUCUGCCGUUGCCGGAAAUCUACACCGUUUUCUCAGAGAUAAGGGGCAUCGCCGUUUUCGUUGGGGUUGAAGAGGCGAUAACCCACUUCGUUAUGUGUCCCACCCAAAGGUUUUCUACUGUCCCAAAUUGAAGGGGAUUUCACUAGAUUUUUCGCAUCAAGAAAGUGAUAGCACUGAUCUUACUGCCAUGGUGGAUGGUCUGGGUACGUAGGAGCUGCCCAUGGCUACAAAAUAUACACAUUGCAUCAGUUCGACUUUCUCAUGACUGUGCUUGCUCUUACUGCUUCAACUUUGAGGUUGGUGUUGUUUCAGAUUAUGACUUGUUAGCACUUGAUUCUAUCUCAGGUACUACUUGAGAUUU
Rhododendron vialii is the source of this 685-nucleotide long non-coding RNA. RefSeq lists it as uncharacterized. NCBI's taxonomy places the organism in Eukaryota, Viridiplantae, Streptophyta, Magnoliopsida, Ericales, Ericaceae. The transcript is spliced from 3 exons. The record is from RefSeq and is a predicted model, not a curated record.